GGGGUAUUCUCAGAGCAGGGGGCCUGAAGAAUGGCUCUUUUGUUUAUAAUAUGCCCAACAGGAAUCUGUUAUCACUGUGAUGAGGGGCACAAAACUUGUAGCCUCAGGCCUGGUGUGGUAGCUCAUGC
Small nucleolar RNA from Otolemur garnettii (small-eared galago), 128 nucleotides. The record is from Ensembl. NCBI's taxonomy places the organism in Eukaryota, Metazoa, Chordata, Mammalia, Primates, Galagidae.